RNAcentral lists this ribosomal RNA (978 nucleotides) under uncultured bacterium. RNAcentral's name for it is "bacterial SSU rRNA". It matches the Rfam family "Bacterial small subunit ribosomal RNA", at positions 8 to 1013 of the family's 1533-position model. The record is from RNAcentral.
AGAGUUUGAUCAUGGCUCAGGACGAACGCUGGCGGCGCGCCUAACACAUGCAAGUCGAGCGAGAACCAGGGCUUGCCCUGGGGACAGCGGCGAACGGGUGCGUAACACGUGAGCAACCUGCCCCAAAGACCGGGACAACCCGAGGAAACUCGGACUAAUACCGGAUGCCCUCACCGGGUCGCAUGGUCUGGUGAGGAAAUGGAUUCCGCUUUGGGAUGGGCUCGCGGUCUAUCAGCUUGUUGGUGGGGUAACGGCCUACCAAGGCGACGACGGAUAGCUGGUCUGAGAGGACGAUCAGCCACACUGGGACUGAGACACGGCCCAGACUCCUACGGGAGGCAGCAGUGGGGAAUCUUGCGCAAUGGGGGAAACCCUGACGCAGCGACGCCGCGUGCGGGAUGAAGGCCUUCGGGUUGUAAACCGCUUUCAGCAGGGACGAAAUUGACGGUACCUGCAGAAGAAGGCCCGGCCAACUACGUGCCAGCAGCCGCGGUAAUACGUAGGGGCCUAGCGUUGUCCGGAAUUAUCGGGCGUAAAGAGCUCGUAGGCGGUUCGGCAAGUCGGAUGUGAAAUCUCCACGCUUAACGUGGAGGGGCCAUUCGAAACUGCUGUGACUCGAGUCCGGUAGGGGAGUGUGGAAUUCCCGGUGUAGCGGUGAAAUGCGCAGAUAUCGGGAGGAACACCAGUAGCGAAGGCGGCACUCUGGGCCGGUACUGACGCUGAGGAGCGAAAGCGUGGGGAGCGAACAGGAUUAGAUACCCUGGUAGUCCACGCCGUAAACGUUGGGCACUAGGUGUGGGACUCUAUCGACGGGUUCCGUGCCGUAGCUAACGCAUUAAGUGCCCCGCCUGGGGAGUACGGCCGCAAGGCUAAAACUCAAAGGAAUUGACGGGGCCCGCACAGCGGCGGAGCGUGUGGCUAUCGAUGCACGCGAGACUUACUGGGCUUGACAUGUACGGUAAGCGGGUGAAGCCCGUG